RNAcentral lists this ribosomal RNA (464 nucleotides) under Vreelandella stevensii. RNAcentral's name for it is "partial 16S ribosomal RNA". It matches the Rfam family "Bacterial small subunit ribosomal RNA", at positions 338 to 795 of the family's 1533-position model. The record is from RNAcentral. Lineage: Bacteria; Pseudomonadati; Pseudomonadota; Gammaproteobacteria; Oceanospirillales; Halomonadaceae.
CCUAGGGGGGCUGCAGUGGGGAAUAUUGGACAAUGGGCGAAAGCCUGAUCCAGCCAUGCCGCGUGUGUGAAGAAGGCCUUCGGGUUGCAAAGCACUUUCAGUGGGGAAGAAAGCCUUGGGGCUAAUACCCUCGAGGAAGGACAUCACCCACAGAAGAAGCACCGGCUAACUCCGUGCCAGCAGCCGCGGUAAUACGGAGGGUGCGAGCGUUAAUCGGAAUUACUGGGCGUAAAGCGCGCGUAGGCGGUCUGAUAAGCCGGUUGUGAAAGCCCCGGGCUCAACCUGGGAACGGCAUCCGGAACUGUCAGGCUAGAGUGCAGGAGAGGAAGGUAGAAUUCCCGGUGUAGCGGUGAAAUGCGUAGAGAUCGGGAGGAAUACCAGUGGCGAAGGCGGCCUUCUGGACUGACACUGACGCUGAGGUGCGAAAGCGUGGGUAGCAAACAGGAUUAGAUACCCCUGUAGUC